This 348-nucleotide ribosomal RNA is filed under the name Escherichia coli. RNAcentral describes it as "bacterial SSU rRNA". It matches the Rfam family "Bacterial small subunit ribosomal RNA", at positions 1 to 345 of the family's 1533-position model. Lineage: Bacteria; Pseudomonadati; Pseudomonadota; Gammaproteobacteria; Enterobacterales; Enterobacteriaceae. The record is from RNAcentral.
AAAUUGAAGAGUUUGAUCAUGGCUCAGAUUGAACGCUGGCGGCAGGCCUAACACAUGCAAGUCGAACGGUAACAGGAAACAGCUUGCUGUUUCGCUGACGAGUGGCGGACGGGUGAGUAAUGUCUGGGAAACUGCCUGAUGGAGGGGGAUAACUACUGGAAACGGUAGCUAAUACCGCAUAACGUCGCAAGACCAAAGAGGGGGACCCUCGGGCCUCUUGCCAUCGGAUGUGCCCAGAUGGGAUUAGCUUGUUGGUGGGGUAACGGCUCACCAAGGCGACGAUCCCUAGCUGGUCUGAGAGGAUGACCAGCCACACUGGAACUGAGACACGGUCCAGACUCCUACGGG